This 492-nucleotide ribosomal RNA is filed under the name uncultured bacterium. RNAcentral describes it as "partial 16S ribosomal RNA". It matches the Rfam family "Bacterial small subunit ribosomal RNA", at positions 29 to 507 of the family's 1533-position model. The record is from RNAcentral.
AGUGAACGCUGGCGGUAGGCCUAACACAUGCAAGUCGAACGGCAGCACAGUAAGAGCUUGCUCUUACGGGUGGCGAGUGGCGGACGGGUGAGGAAUACAUCGGAAUCUACUUUUUCGUGGGGGAUAACGUAGGGAAACUUACGCUAAUACCGCAUACGACCUACGGGUGCAAGCAGUGGAUCUUCGGACCUUGCGCGAUUGAAUGAGCCGAUGUCGGAUUAGCUAGUUGGCGGGGUAAAGGCCCACCAAGGCGACGAUCCGUAGCUGGUCUGAGAGGAUGAUCGGCCACACUGGAACUGAGACACGGUCCAGACUCCUACGGGAGGCAGCAGUGGGGAAUAUUGGACAAUGGGCGCAAGCCUGAUCCAGCCAUACCGCGUGGGUGAAGAAGGCCUUCGGGUUGUAAAGCCCUUUUGUUGGGAAAGAAAAGCAGCAGGAUAAUACGCCGCUGUUCUGACGGUACCCAAAGAAUAAGCAACGGCUAACUUCGUG